Molecule: ribosomal RNA, 253 nt
Filed under: uncultured bacterium
Lineage: Bacteria
Description: partial 16S ribosomal RNA
Rfam family: Bacterial small subunit ribosomal RNA
Source: RNAcentral
UACGAAGGGGGCUAGCGUUGCUCGGAAUCACUGGGCGUAAAGCGCACGUAGGCGGCUUUUUAAGUCAGGGGUGAAAUCCUGGAGCUCAACUCCAGAACUGCCUUUGAUACUGAGAGGCUCGAGUCCGGGAGAGGUGAGUGGAACUGCGAGUGUAGAGGUGAAAUUCGUAGAUAUUCGCAAGAACACCAGUGGCGAAGGCGGCUCACUGGCCCGAUACUGACGCUGAGGCACGAAGGCCAGGGGAGCAAACGGG